ACAGCAGUCGCCACGGUAAAACGGAGGAUCCGAGCGUCAUCCGGAAUUAUUGGGUUUAAAGGGUGCGUAGGCGGGUAGAUAAGUCAGUGGUGAAAGACGGUGGCUCAACCAUCGCAGUGCCGUUGAUACUGUUUAUCUUGAAUAUGGAUGAGGUAGGCGGAAUGUGGCAAGUAGCGGUGAAAUGCAUAGAUAUGCCACAGAACACCGAUUGCGAAGGCAGCUUACCAAGGCAAAAUUGACGCUGAGGCACGAAAGCGUGGGGAUCGAACAGGAUUAGAUACCCGCGUAGUCCCUGUCUCUUAUAC
Molecule: ribosomal RNA, 305 nt
Filed under: uncultured bacterium
Lineage: Bacteria
Description: partial 16S ribosomal RNA
Rfam family: Bacterial small subunit ribosomal RNA
Source: RNAcentral